Viridibacillus arenosi FSL R5-213 is the source of this 92-nucleotide regulatory RNA element. It matches the Rfam family "pan motif". The record is from Rfam. Lineage: Bacteria; Bacillati; Bacillota; Bacilli; Caryophanales; Caryophanaceae.
AGGACAGUAUCAAUUUGAUUGAACUGUACCUCGCUAUAAAAAUUAUAACUAAAGAGAUUCGCCUUGAUCUAGUAAUAGACAGGGACGGAAGA